Molecule: long non-coding RNA, 4490 nt
Filed under: Zea mays
Lineage: Eukaryota; Viridiplantae; Streptophyta; Magnoliopsida; Poales; Poaceae
Description: long non-coding RNA (ZMAY_LNC005469)
Source: RNAcentral
UCUCACUCGAUGGUGAGUCACAGAGCAAAUACAAUAAAGCAUAAAACCAUACAUUAAGGAGUAUUAAACUUAUUACAUCAUCAUCAGAGUUUUAGCAAAAGUAGUCAUCAUUGUUCAAAAUGCAGCGGAAUAAAACUAACGAUAAAUAAACAGAGAGAUGGGGAAGCCUGUCCCAUCACUCCUCAUGCUCCUCCUCAGCCGAGGUAGGGUCCCACUCGACUGUCCAACCUGGUGGCAAGAUGGACGGCCAAGUCACUCCAGCAACCAUGUCCUCCAGAGAACCUGUAAAAUUAUGCCACAAGCAAGGCUGAGUAUACUAAUACUUAGCUAGACUUACCCGGUAUGAGGAGUCUACUCCUCUACCUCUAGACAUGCAGCUGUUUGGCUGAGAGGUUUGGUUGCCAAAAGCACUAGCUGAGUCUAUAAAUCAAGUUUUAGCUUUACCAAGUUUUAGUGUGACUCUCUUAAGACUGAAUGUAUACCUAUCUAAUCAUACAUGGUAUCAAACAUUUAGCAAUCAACAACUUUUGCUAAGUCAUCACAUUUCCACUUGUUACUCAAUGUAGCAGCAUGGAUCAAGCAGUCUCAUUAGCUGCGAGAAGCAGACGAUUCGAAUCGAGUUUUUAAACCUUGCAAGGUAAACCUAAACACACGACGUGGCAAGGCACUCCGUCCCCACACACAUCAACCGUCCCCAUCGAUUCCCCGUCAGCAGAGAGGGGCUCACCGCCUUGGCGUACAAUGCCUCACUGACCCCGACUGCCGUCGUGCAGUGACCGCACUUGUACCCACCAUAACCGGAAUGGGAGACCACGUCUCAGGUCGCGUGAGGAGGGCAAUCUGCUGCCAGGUUCAAUCAGGUACUAGGCUUACCGAUUUACCAUAUUUCUCGGCAUAUGUUUAGUACGUUCAAACGCUUGACACACGGUACUAAACCAUAAUCCUUAGUCCAAUUUCCACCUCGUAGACAACCAAUCCUCAUGGAUUGUUUUCCACAGACCAACAUCAUUAUACUAUGAAAGUGGAUACAACCAAUUCCUGACCUCGCGCGAGUGCUAGAAAAAUCACUCGACUUAUACCGAGAUCCCUAAUUAGUAAAGCAACUACUCGACCUAGCAUACUAGUAUCCAUCUCAAAGGAAUCCUGGGUUCAUGCAACUAGGGUUUCAGUCAACUCCUACCCUUAAGUGCACAGUACAAACCUACAAACAUUAAGUGUAGUAAAAUAGCAUAUAUAAACGGUUAUGCAUAAAACCGGGGCUUGCCUUCCAAAGCUGGGGCAGGCAGAUUGUGGCAGAACCUCCCAAGGUAUCGGGCCCACAUGCACUUGUCCUUGUCCCAAAGACCUCAGACGGCCAUGCAUGUGCACCAGAUAACUUAACAGGAUCCGUCCGAUUGCCCCAAGGACAUCGGAUAAACCACUUACAACCAGAACCGCGUGAUUAAGUAAUACAAAUCACACACACCAAUAUUUUUGCAGCGGAAAUCUUAUUACCAAAUUUUACAAGUUACAAAAAUUUUACAUUAUUUUAUCGGAAUGAUUACAAAAGUAUAAGUUUGAAAUAUAUGCUAGCUUAAGAGACCAUCCUCAAUAAGAAGUAUAGAAGGGUUACUUAGACUUAUAAGAAGGCCGAGCCCACCGGCACUUAACACCAUCAUCAGCAGCACAAAGCUAUGACCUGAAAAACAACAGGGAAUAAAACCCUGAGUAUGGAAUUACUCAGCAAGUCUUACCCGACUAAGGAAAAGACUCUCAAGGGUAUGCUGGAUAAAUAGGAAUCAAGGAGAGGCUUUAGCAAGAAUCAACUUAGAUACUUUUGCAGAAAUAGCUUACUAAAGUGAGUCCUUACUUUCAACAUUUUAAUGCCAGAUUAAAUAUUAAUAGACUCUGUUUGUCUCUAGUCUAAUUUCAUCAUCUCAUCAAUACAACAUCAUUUUUAUUCAUGAAGUUCACAUCCUGACUUAGGUUGUAGGUCAGUGAUCAAGUCUCCACUCUCCGGGGAUAUAACGGCGAUCCGAAUCGAUUUACUCAGCUGAGGAUCUCUAACCACACGACAUAUGUAGCACUUAAUCCUUGCAUAUGUCAACUCGACCCCAGGGUUCUUAAGACCAGAUCAGGUUCACGCAAACCGAGAGCACAGAUACACCACCGUCUAGCCUCUUGCCACGGAGGGUACACGCUACUCCCGCCACCGCUCCACACCCAUUUCGUGUUAUCUUAUUCUGGCCUUAGUCUGCCCGAGGCAAAGCUUACCCUGUCCCAUUUCCAGGGUAUGCGGCUAGCUAAGAUAGUCCUUGCGCUAGCAGGCCUACAUACGCAUCCAAUCCUUAAUCAACCUGGGUAGAACAUCACCUGUUCCUAACCCAAGUCUCGAUUUAAGUACUUCCAUCCUUAGGAUUGUUUCUGUUCCUUAGGAUGAAAAGAGCAUCACAGGGAGCUUUGCAGUAAGAUCCCACCACGCUCUCAAUGAAAGUAUUCUUGCAUGUAGAAGCCAUCUUUCCUCAGUAUAACCCCUGAGCUAGGCAGUAUUGUAAAAGACAACCUCUAUCCACAAGAUCUAAGCAGGGCUAAGCAUUUUUGUAAAUCAAAUUUUGAUACUUCACCAGAAGUAUCUAUAAAAGUAUGGAUAUCAAGGAAGGCAAUGCAUCAAAGGGUUUCAAGCAACUCCUAUAAACCUAAUGCACAUUUCACUAGACUUAAGUGUGCGAAAAGUAUUUAAAAACACAAGGAAGGGGUUGCAUGCACCGGGGCUUGCCUUAUUGUAGUGAAGAGGCCUAGAUCCUUCUACCCAAUCAUCAGUUAGUUAGCUCCAUCCACUUGAUGAGCAGACACUGGAGUAGCCUCCUCUUCAGUCAACGCUUCAUCUUGAAUCUUCACUCUUUCUGGUAGGAGUUCUAUAUGAAAUGACAUGAUCAUGGAUGUUUAUGCUUAUGCAACUUGAAAAGAAAAAUACUAAGAAGCAUCGCAAGACUUACACCUCUCUAAUGGUGCAUUAAAUUUGAGCAAACACACGGAAAAUCCAUUUUCCCAAUCUGAAACAGCACAUUACUAGGUCUGACAGAGGGUUUUGUCACUCCUUUUUCUCCAAAUUCUACAAAGUAGCAAGUCAACACUUUGCAUGAGACUUUCUCUCCUUUACAUGGUCUUUGAUUUUGCUAUAGCAUUCUUACCCCAAUUCUUCUUGGAUUAAUUACCACAAGGACCCAAAACUGAAUAAACACACAAAUUCAGACUUAAAUAUUAUUCUAAGUCUGAAUCCUAACACCUGACAGUCCACCUUUUGGCCACUUUUAUUUCCAAAUUUAUGUGGAACCAAGUCCACCUCACUUUACAAAACUUAGUCUCUUUACUAUGGUCUCCAGAUUUGCUAUGGAAACUUUAAUCCAAAGCCCCAUGAAUCAGUCACAAAUGAGUUCCAAACUAGGCAUCCUGCUGUAAUUCAGUUUUCAGAACUGAAUAACAAAAUUCAGUUAUGUACAGUCUGACGGUCCAACUUUAGCCAACCUUUUUUUCCAAUUCCAAAUAGCUUCUAGGGUAUGGCCUUUAACCAAACCUGGUCUUCUACUAUAGUUCUAUUGCUUUGCUAUAAGAGACCUAAUUUAAUUCCCUACAGGUUAGCCACUACAAAGGUCCAAACAUGGCUAAAGUUUACUAAAAUUCAGAAUUAGCCAAUUAGCUAAGUCUGAAACCCAGAAGUUGAUGGCCCAGUUUUGAGCAAGCUUUACAAUCAGUUCUGUAUAGUUUUUAGGCCAGAUCACUCAAUCAAACUUGUACUCCUAGAAUAGAUUUAUAACUUUGUUAUAGUGGCCAUAAGCUAUAGCUCUAUGGAUAGAGCAGCAAAGAGCUCCAAAGCUGCACCCAAAACAUACAAAUUCAGACUCUGAAUUUGCACUAAGUCUGAAAUCUGACAACCCUAUUUUACACCAAAUUUCACACCUAGUUCCAGGCAACUAAUAGUGGUAGAGUUCAAGUAGUAAUUGGUGUGAGCUUCACUGACCUGAGAUGAUUAUGGAACAAGCUUCAUAUAGGCCAGCAACUCCCUAGAAUGUUCUGGCUAUGGUGGGGUAAAGAAUUGUGAGCAUGGUCACCACUGGCACUUGAUUCUCUGGACAGAGCAGACUUGGUGGCUGUGGGAGAGGGUCAUCACUAGCAGGGAUACAAGAACCCCAACACCCAUGCAGUGGUAUGCGAGUAGAGCUCGAGGUAGAGAGGAGAUUUCCACUGCUCCCUGCCCUUUAAAUACCUGAAAUGGGAUAGGUGUUCUCUGAACUUGGCAAACAUGCAGAGGGGAUGUGUUUUCCAGUGUGCCAGCACAACAUGGACUCAAAGACGUGGCUCCCAUGCACUACUAUCAUGCAGAUUCAUAGCACAGACAAAGACACAGAACUUGGUCCAUCUUAUAUGGUCAAAAUAUCAAUUUUUGUCUCCUACUGCGGAUAAGAGAGGGCAGCUAGGAACCCACAAAUAUCCCACUUGAGGAUAGGCUCAAA